This 505-nucleotide ribosomal RNA is filed under the name uncultured bacterium. RNAcentral's name for it is "partial 16S ribosomal RNA". It matches the Rfam family "Bacterial small subunit ribosomal RNA", at positions 28 to 507 of the family's 1533-position model. The record is from RNAcentral.
GACGAACGCUGGCGGCGUGCCUAAUACAUGCAAGUAGAACGCACAGUUUAUACCGUAGCUUGCUACACCAUAGACUGUGAGUUGCGAACGGGUGAGUAACGCGUAGGUAACCUGCCUGGUAGCGGGGGAUAACUAUUGGAAACGAUAGCUAAUACCGCAUAAUAUUAAUUAUUGCAUGAUAAUUAAUUGAAAGGUGCAAUUGCACCACUACCAGAUGGACCUGCGUUGUAUUAGCUAGUAGGUGAGGUAACGGCUCACCUAGGCGACGAUACAUAGCCGACCUGAGAGGGUGAUCGGCCACACUGGGACUGAGACACGGCCCAGACUCCUACGGGAGGCAGCAGUAGGGAAUCUUCGGCAAUAGACGAAAGUCUGACCGAGCAACGCCGCGUGAGUGAAGAAGGUUGUCGGAUCGUAAAGCUCUGUUGUAAGAGAAGAACGGGUGUGAGAGUGGAAAGUUCACACUGUGACGGUAUCUGACCAGAAAGGGACGGCUAACUACGUG